Molecule: long non-coding RNA, 1480 nt
Filed under: Malus domestica (apple)
Lineage: Eukaryota; Viridiplantae; Streptophyta; Magnoliopsida; Rosales; Rosaceae
Description: long non-coding RNA (MDOM_LNC020747)
Source: RNAcentral
UAACAACCUAAGUGAAUGCACGCUUCCAGAGUCCCACUCUGAUGUUUCUUUCUUAAAGGCAAUAAUACUUUAUCAGUUGCUUUGGUUCUGAUCCUGGGAUAUAGUAAUAUCUUAAAGUGACAACCCCUGUGGUUCUUCACCUUUGGAUAUCUACUUCACAAGUCCAUACAUGUGUCCCUUUUGUGAUUUUAUGACACAUUCAUUAUAAGGGUUAUGAAAGUGACUUCCUAUCACAUAGGAAAAUGCUUUUCUUAAAUCUACAACAUUUGAGAUUUAAUUCCCAUAUAACAUUAUUGAGAUAGCCAUGCUAUAUCAAUAAGUCCAAUUUCAAGUCUAUACUUCAAAAUUGACCGUGUCAUGUUUUGUCAUUUUUCGAGUAACAUCUAUGUUUUAUCAAGUCUAUCAAAUAGACUUUAUUCACAUCUUGUUGCUCAAAUUUAUGACAUCACUCCCACUGGCCUUGUUGUAACUUAGCAUUCAUUCAAAAAUAACAAUUAUAUUUUUCUUGAUUUGAAUGCAUAUUUGCUCCCAUUAACUUUAAAUGAAUCAUACACAAAAGAAUUCCUUCUCAAGUAAUUCCAUGAAAUGUGUGACUUGCUUUAUCAAGUCUAUUCAUUUAAAUUAUAUGGUGUCAUACACCAUACUUCAAGUUUUAGUCGUACUAAGACCUUUAAUGUAGUCAUACAAGAAUUAUCCAAGUCUUUAGUGAAGCAUGGCUCCUUCUAAGGAUAUAGAAAACUCAACCAUUCCUUCUAGGUGGUUGAUAUAAUUCUUUAUCAAAACUACAUAGAGCAAUAUCGUUACAUGAGAUGUUGAAUUUGGUUUGUCUUGUUGUUAAACCAUAUGUUUUGUGACUCAUUUUGAAACUUAUUCCCUUUUGUUUCAUCAACUUGUCCAUAUGCUUGGUUAUUUAGCUUGUUCUCAUAAAAGAGAAUUAUGGACAACUCCCAACAUAUAACCAUUUAAUGCUAGGUUGACGAAACCAACAUUCAAAGACUAUUCUUUAGAAUGUCACACAACAAUAGAAUUUUAACGUUUGAAGAGCUUGAGUCCUUUAACAAUUAAAAUUACAAACUCUUAAUAAUAGUCAAGUACUAUUAUCCUUUAGACAACUAUAAACCAAUCAUAUUCAAGUUUAUAUCCAUUUUCACACCUCCCACUAUUUCUCAUAACUUUAAUGAGAAAUCAUUUCAUACAUUCAAAAUGUAUAAAAGUGGAUUAUAUUGGUAGAAGACAUUGUGUAGUAGCUUAAAACCCUUUCAAGCUCAUUUGUUUCAAUCUUCACUAAGUUAAUGUCUUGUCAUUAAGUGACUAAAGUCUUUAAACAUUUUAUAGAUUUAGACACUUCUUUCUUGGUUUAAUCACUAACACAAUUGACAUUUUAAAACCUUUUAAAGAAUGCCCAAUUAGUUGUUCAAAACUACUAAUUGAAUCAAGGUGAUCUUGAUCAUUGUGUUUCAAGUGAUAACCAUAUAAGAAA